RNAcentral lists this ribosomal RNA (433 nucleotides) under uncultured bacterium. Its description in RNAcentral is "bacterial SSU rRNA". It matches the Rfam family "Bacterial small subunit ribosomal RNA", at positions 29 to 507 of the family's 1533-position model. The record is from RNAcentral.
AACGAACGCUGGCGGCAGGCCUAACACAUGCAAGUCGAGCGAACCCUUCGGGGUUAGCGGCGGACGGGUUAGUAACGCGUGGGAAUAUACCCUUUGGUACGGAAUAGCCUCGGGAAACUGAGAGUAAUACCGUAUGUGCCCUUCGGGGGAAAGAUUUAUCGCCAAAGGAUUAGCCCGCGUUGGAUUAGAUAGUUGGUGGGGUAAUGGCCUACCAAGUCUACGAUCCAUAGCUGGUUUGAGAGGAUGGUCAGCAACACUGGGACUGAGACACGGCCCAGACUCCUACGGGAGGCAGCAGUGGGGAAUCUUAGACAAUGGGCGCAAGCCUGAUCUAGCCAUGCCGCGUGGACGAUGAAGGCCUUAGGGGUUGUAAAGUCCUUUCAGAUGGGAAGAUAAUGACGGUACCAUCAGAAGAAGCCCGGCUAACUCCGUG